GUAGAACGCUGAAGAGAGGAGCUUGCUCUUCUUGGAUGAGUUGCGAACGGGUGAGUAACGCGUAGGUAACCUGCCUUGUAGCGGGGGAUAACUAUUGGAAACGAUAGCUAAUACCGCAUAACAAUGGAUGACACAUGUCAUUUAUUUGAAAGGGGCAAUUGCUCCACUACAAGAUGGACCUGCGUUGUAUUAGCUAGUAGGUGAGGUAAUGGCUCACCUAGGCGACGAUACAUAGCCGACCUGAGAGGGUGAUCGGCCACACUGGGACUGAGACACGGCCCAGACUCCUACGGGAGGCAGCAGUAGGGAAUCUUCGGCAAUGGGGGCAACCCUGACCGAGCAACGCCGCGUGAGUGAAGAAGGUUUUCGGAUCGUAAAGCUCUGUUGUAAGUCAAGAACGGGUGUGAGAGUGGAAAGUUCACACUGUGACGGUAGCUUACCAGAAAGGGACGGCUAACUACGUGCCAGCAGCCGCGGUAAUACGUAGGUCCCGAGCGUUGUCCGGAUUUAUUGGGCGUAAAGCGAGCGCAGGCGGUUUGAUAAGUCUGAAGUUAAAGGCUGUGGCUCAACCAUAGUUCGCUUUGGAAACUGUCAAACUUGAGUGCAGAAGGGGAGAGUGGAAUUCCAUGUGUAGCGGUGAAAUGCGUAGAUAUAUGGAGGAACACCGGUGGCGAAAGCGGCUCUCUGGUCUGUAACUGACGCUGAGGCUCGAAAGCGUGGGGAGCGAACAGGAUUAGAUACCCUGGUAGUCCACGCCGUAAACGAUGAGUGCUAGGUGUUGGAUCCUUUCCGGGAUUCAGUGCCGCAGCUAACGCAUUAAGCACUCCGCCUGGGGAGUACGACCGCAAGGUUGAAACUCAAAGGAAUUGACGGGGGCCCGCACAAGCGGUGGAGCAUGUGGUUUAAUUCGAAGCAACGCGAAGAACCUUACCAGGUCUUGACAUCCCGAUGCUAUUUCUAGAGAUAGAAAGUUACUUCGGUACAUCGGUGACAGGUGGUGCAUGGUUGUCGUCAGCUCGUGUCGUGAGAUGUUGGGUUAAGUCCCGCAACGAGCGCAACCCCUAUUGUUAGUUGCCAUCAUUCAGUUGGGCACUCUAGCGAGACUGCCGGUAAUAAACCGGAGGAAGGUGGGGAUGACGUCAAAUCAUCAUGCCCCUUAUGACCUGGGCUACACACGUGCUACAAUGGUUGGUACAACGAGUUGCGAGUCGGUGACGGCGAGCUAAUCUCUUAAAGCCAAUCUCAGUUCGGAUUGUAGGCUGCAACUCGCCUACAUGAAGUCGGAAUCGCUAGUAAUCGCGGAUCAGCACGCCGCGGUGAAUACGUUCCCGGGCCUUGUACACACCGCCCGUCACACCACGAGAGUUUGUAACACCCGAAGUCGGUGA
RNAcentral lists this ribosomal RNA (1388 nucleotides) under Streptococcus thermophilus. RNAcentral's name for it is "bacterial SSU rRNA". It matches the Rfam family "Bacterial small subunit ribosomal RNA", at positions 61 to 1433 of the family's 1533-position model. Lineage: Bacteria; Bacillati; Bacillota; Bacilli; Lactobacillales; Streptococcaceae. The record is from RNAcentral.